RNAcentral lists this long non-coding RNA (330 nucleotides) under Elaeis guineensis (African oil palm). RNAcentral's name for it is "long non-coding RNA (EGUI_LNC070536)". The record is from RNAcentral. Lineage: Eukaryota; Viridiplantae; Streptophyta; Magnoliopsida; Arecales; Arecaceae.
UACCUAGAUGAUGAGCAAAAAGUGUUUGUCAGUCUUAAGGCAAUCUUUUUGGAAAAGGAGUUCUUUGGUGAAGGGACUGUUGCCUCUAAGGUCGAACUUGACGAAGUUCGACAGGUGAAAAAAUCGACACAAGUUGCUGAACCUGAACUGGAUUUGAUUAGAUCAGAUCCGGAGCCCAUUGUUCAAGCACCCUUAAGGCGAUCUGGUAGAGUACCACGUCAACUGGACAGAUACUAUGGUUUCUUGGUCCGGGACGACGAUCCUAUUAAACUUGAUGAAAACGAUGAGGAUCCGAUCACCUACAUGGAUGCAAUGCAGAGAUCCGACUCU